UCAUAACCCACAAGUCAAGGCUCAUUUGUAACUAUCAUUUUUCCAGGCUGCAUAAAUGUGACUGCCAUGGGAGUUCACAGAAGUAUCUCAUGAAAUGGCCUCUUAUGAAGCCCAAGACAGGAAGCAGCAGGUACAGGAUUCAGCAGAGUUAAUACUCUUGGAUAAUGUAUUUAAGGAUGCUUAAGGUUGUGUCUAUUGCUUUUAAGAAAUACCAACAACUGAAAAUUAUCAGAGAAGUUCAAGAAUACUAUUUUCAGUAUUAGAUUUUCACCAUCUACUAUAUCAGAAAAUCAAUAAAUAUACGUUAGGUGUCAUGGCCGAAUAUUAGGCAAUCCCUGUCUCUAAGGACUGCCAACAUGUUAUAAUAAAAGAGAAGAUUCACAUAAAGGACAAUAUAGGAAGAAAGGUUAUAUUAUUUUAAAAUGUAAUAAAUAUUUGACAAUAAAUGAUAAAGGUG
Molecule: long non-coding RNA, 457 nt
Organism: Pan paniscus (pygmy chimpanzee)
Lineage: Eukaryota; Metazoa; Chordata; Mammalia; Primates; Hominidae
Source: Ensembl